GAUGAACGCUGGCGGCGUGCCUAAUACAUGCAAGUCGAGCGAACGGACGAGAAGCUUGCUUCUCUGAUGUUAGCGGCGGACGGGUGAGUAACACGUGGAUAACCUACCUAUAAGACUGGGAUAACUUCGGGAAACCGGAACUAAUACCGGAUGAUAUUUUGAACCGCAUGGUUCAAAAGUGAAAGACGGUCUUGCUGUCACUUAUAGAUGGAUCCGCGCUGCAUUAGCUAGUUGGUAAGGUAACGGCUUACCAAGGCAACGAUGCAUAGCCGACCUGAGAGGGUGAUCGGCCACACUGGAACUGAGACACGGUCCAGACUCCUACGGGAGGCAGCAGUAGGGAAUCUUACGCAAUGGGCGAAAGCCUGACGGAGCAACGCCGCGUGAGUGAUGAAGGUCUUCGGAUCGUAAAACUCUGUUAUUAGGGAAGAACAUAUGUGUAAGUAACUGUGCACAUCUUGACGGUACCUAAUCAGAAAGCCACGGCUAACUACGUG
Molecule: ribosomal RNA, 497 nt
Filed under: uncultured bacterium
Lineage: Bacteria
Description: partial 16S ribosomal RNA
Rfam family: Bacterial small subunit ribosomal RNA
Source: RNAcentral